UAAAAAAAUAAAUAUUUGAUCACACCGCUGCUUCACGAUAUGAUAGUUGCACUGUUAUGCCUGUCAUGACCCUCAGGUGUCAAGCCUAGGAUAAUGGGAGUGGCCCCACUCAACCCUCCACCUGUUAGCCUGGGACCCAUGAGCUCAGCCCCAGUUUGAGGCUCCACCCUGAGGUCCUGUUGGCAGAGUCCCAGAGCAGCUGAUUGGCCUGCUGGCCCUAUGUAAGCCAGCAGCAGGAUUGGAAUAGGAAGCUGUUUGAACUGGGCUCCAUCCUGCUCUGGACUGUUGUGCCUUGUGUUUCCGGCUCCAGCUCUGGCUUGAUUUCCUGGCAUCCUGAGCCUGCGUGACUCCUGGCAUCUGGCUCAUGAUUCUGAUCUCCAGUUUGUCUCCUACCUGUGAUCCCUGGUAUCCUGACCUGGCCUGACUCUGAUCCCAGUGUGUGUUCUGACUUCCUGUAUCUUGACCCAGCAGACUCUGUCUCAUGACUGUGGACUGCAGCUCUGAUCAUUGGUCUGGGACGCCUGCCUGACUGGCUGUGACAGCCUCAUGAAAGAAUUGGGCUCCAUUCUCUGCUUAGCUCCAAAAAUAUGGUCUGAAGAAAUGUGGUGGUCUUUCCAUAGCAGAGCCCCGCACGCAGGCCCCUCGUGUGGCACAGGGUGGCAGCAGUGUGCUGUUUGAACCAGAUCUCUGCUCCGUGGCUUGUUAGCUAGCAUUGCUUGUGAGAGUCCCUUUGUACAUUUACAGCUGCCUUUUAAAAAAAAAAAUAAAAAGAAUAUUCUGAC
Molecule: long non-coding RNA, 782 nt
Organism: Dermochelys coriacea (leatherback sea turtle)
Lineage: Eukaryota; Metazoa; Chordata; Testudines; Dermochelyidae
Exons: 2
Source: RefSeq, a predicted model, not a curated record